GACGAACGCUGGCGGCGUGCUUAACACAUGCAAGUCGAACGGAAAGGCCCUGCUUUUGUGGGGUGCUCGAGUGGCGAACGGGUGAGUAACACGUGAGUAACCUGCCCUUGACUUUGGGAUAACUUCAGGAAACUGGGGCUAAUACCGGAUAGGAGCUCCUGCUGCAUGUUGGGGGUUGGAAAGUUUCGGCGGUUGGGGAUGGACUCGCGGCUUAUCAGCUUGUUGGUGGGGUAGUUGCUUACCAAGGCUUUGACGGGUAGCCGGCCAGAGAGGGUGACCGGCCACCACGGGAGUGGGAUAUGGUCCAGACUACAACGGGAGGGAGCAGUGGGGAAUAUUGCACAAUGGGCGGAAGCAUGACGCAGCAACCCCGCGUGCUGGAUGAAGGCCUUCGGGUUGUAAACCGCUUUCGCCUGUGACGAAGCGUGAGUGACGGUAAUGGGUAAAGAAGCACCGGCUAACUACGUG
Molecule: ribosomal RNA, 468 nt
Filed under: uncultured bacterium
Lineage: Bacteria
Description: partial 16S ribosomal RNA
Rfam family: Bacterial small subunit ribosomal RNA
Source: RNAcentral